CCUACGGGAGGCAGCAGUGAGGAAUAUUGGUCAAUGGACGAGAGUCUGAACCAGCCAAGUAGCGUGAAGGAUGACUGCCCUAUGGGUUGUAAACUUCUUUUAUAUGGGAAUAAACUGUUCCACGUGGGGGAUUUUGUAUGUACCAUAUGAAUAAGGAUCGGCUAACUCCGUGCCAGCCGCCGCGGUAAUACGGAGGAUCAGAGCGUUAUACGGAUUUAUUGGGUUUAAAGGGAGCGUAGGUGGAUUGUUAAGUCAGUUGUGAAAGUUUGCGGCUCAACCGGAAAAUUGCAGUUGAAACUGGCAGUCUUGAGUACAGUAGAGGUGGGCGGAAUUCGUGGUGUAGCGGUGAAAUGCUUAGAUAUCACGAAGAACUCCGAUUGCGAAGGCAGCUCACUGGACUGCAACUGACACUGAGGCUCGAAAGUGUGGGUAUCAAACAGGAUUAGAUACCCCUGUAGUC
This 460-nucleotide ribosomal RNA is filed under the name uncultured bacterium. RNAcentral's name for it is "partial 16S ribosomal RNA". It matches the Rfam family "Bacterial small subunit ribosomal RNA", at positions 338 to 795 of the family's 1533-position model. The record is from RNAcentral.